This is a non-coding RNA of Odocoileus virginianus texanus, 1053 nucleotides long. NCBI's taxonomy places the organism in Eukaryota, Metazoa, Chordata, Mammalia, Artiodactyla, Cervidae. The record is from RefSeq and is a predicted model, not a curated record.
UGGGUNGUCCAGUCUGCCGCAGAAACUGUCUGCUAGCCUCCACUUUGCCCCCUUCUCCUGCAGCGUUGGACCAAAAAUACUCCUCCCGUUCCAUCUCUCGUAAUGGCCCCUGUGCGCCCCACCCAGGUCGAGAGGUAAACCGUUUAAUUCUCCAAAGCUCUGCUGGUGCCGCCCAGCCCUGUUCCAUUGCCUUUGCAGAACGAGAGGCCUGGUGUCCGUCAAUCUCCCACUUCCCAUCCUGGGCUCUCCCUCACCUUGGCCGCCACUGUGUCCUUGCUCCACGGUGGAAGUCAGAGCCCCUGCUCGGACUGAGCAGCCAGGCCAUCUCAAACUCUGAGCUGUGCUCUGCGCCCUGCUGGUGCCUUGUGAAGGUGUGUUCCUUACAGAGCCUGGAAGGUCAUGGCAGUCGAAGGGUGUUUGUGGAAGGUGCUUUGGAACCUCAUGAGCUGCAAGGAAAAGGACUUGGCGUUUUGUGUGUGGUAUUUCCUCCUUGCCCUGGUACCUAAGUUGCUGGCCUGGGAAGUGGGCCUUGAGGCACUGUCGACCUUCCAUGGAUGAGCUGUGCAUCAUCUGUGCCUGAGAUCUGGGGAGUCCAGAGCCUUGUUCUGCUUGGAAGAUUUGGAGGACGCAGUGUUUCAGAGUGCUCCACUGUUCCUCAGAUGAACUGCCGCUAGCCGUCUCCUUCACGCCAAGGCCUGGAAAUCACGCCGCCAGCGAGGGAAACCAGCCGGGCCUGCGUGCAGUGUCUCAGAGUGACAACUCAGUGGGCAGCUGAGCCAUCGCCGUCUCCCUGCCAAGGUGGAGCACCAGGUGCUAUCUACUUUUAUCUCCAGGACUAAGGACCUUCAUUUCUAUUACACAGUGAAACGUGACCUGUGGCAGGCAGGGUGGGGGUUGGGGGGUGAAAACCAGCUGGCAUUGUUUUUCAUUUACAGUUUUUGGAUGGCCAGCUGGGUUGUUUCUGCUUUGUUGAUGGAAUGCCUCUGUGUCUCUGCCCCCUCGUCCCCUUUGGCCAUCUCUUUCUGAAAAUAAAGUGAUGGAUCUUCAGCCAGC